AGCAAGGUGGUUGAUAAUUUAAACGUUAGACUGUAAAUCUAUAAAUGAGGCUUAUCCCCUCUCUUGCUA
Molecule: transfer RNA, 69 nt
Filed under: Matrona basilaris
Lineage: Eukaryota; Metazoa; Arthropoda; Insecta; Odonata; Calopterygidae
Description: tRNA-Tyr
Rfam family: tRNA
About the family: Transfer RNA (tRNA) molecules are approximately 80 nucleotides in length. Their secondary structure includes four short double-helical elements and three loops (D, anti-codon, and T loops).
Source: RNAcentral